GCCCAGGUGGCGGAAUUGGUAGACGCGCUAGCUUCAGGUGCUAGUGGCCGUAAGGUCGUGGGAGUUCAAGUCUCCCCCUGGGCACCA
This 87-nucleotide transfer RNA is filed under the name Gammaproteobacteria bacterium. RNAcentral describes it as "tRNA-Leu". It matches the Rfam family "tRNA". Rfam says of the family: Transfer RNA (tRNA) molecules are approximately 80 nucleotides in length. Their secondary structure includes four short double-helical elements and three loops (D, anti-codon, and T loops). Further hydrogen bonds mediate the characteristic L-shaped molecular structure. tRNAs have two regions of fundamental functional importance: the anti-codon, which is responsible for specific mRNA codon recognition, and the 3' end, to which the tRNAs corresponding amino acid is attached (by aminoacyl-tRNA synthetases). tRNAs cope with the degeneracy of the genetic code in two manners: having more than one tRNA (with a specific anti-codon) for a particular amino acid; and 'wobble' base-pairing, i.e. permitting non-standard base-pairing at the 3rd anti-codon position. RNAcentral also lists the same sequence under 3 other names. Lineage: Bacteria; Pseudomonadati; Pseudomonadota; Gammaproteobacteria. The record is from RNAcentral.